GAUGAACGCUGGCGGCGUGCCUAAUACAUGCAAGUCGAGCGAACAGACGAGGAGCUUGCUCCUCUGACGUUAGCGGCGGACGGGUGAGUAACACGUGGAUAACCUACCUAUAAGACUGGGAUAACUUCGGGAAACCGGAGCUAAUACCGGAUAACAUGUUGAACCGCAUGGUUCAACAGUGAAAGACGGUCUUGCUGUCACUUAUAGAUGGAUCCGCGCCGCAUUAGCUAGUUGGUAAGGUAACGGCUUACCAAGGCAACGAUGCGUAGCCGACCUGAGAGGGUGAUCGGCCACACUGGAACUGAGACACGGUCCAGACUCCUACGGGAGGCAGCAGUAGGGAAUCUUCCGAAAUGGGCGAAAGCCUGACGGAGCAACGCCGCGUGAGUGAUGAAGGUCUUCGGAUCGUAAAACUCUGUUAUUAGGGAAGAACAAAUGUGUAAGUAACUAUGCACGUCUUGACGGUACCUAAUCAGAAAGCCACGGCUAACUACGUG
Molecule: ribosomal RNA, 497 nt
Filed under: uncultured bacterium
Lineage: Bacteria
Description: partial 16S ribosomal RNA
Rfam family: Bacterial small subunit ribosomal RNA
Source: RNAcentral